This is a non-coding RNA of Vicia faba (fava bean), 189 nucleotides long. The record is from the annotation of a GenBank genome assembly. Lineage: Eukaryota; Viridiplantae; Streptophyta; Magnoliopsida; Fabales; Fabaceae.
AUGUUCUUACUUAUUGUUAUUAUCAAUAGUGAAGUAAAAAAGCAUUUUAACUUAAAAGGGGAAUAUUUUUUAAAAGAAUUACUUUGUUUUAAAAACCUAAUUCAAACCCCUCAUUUCUUGUGUUUUUCACACCUUAAACUUCCUCAUCCUUCACUACUUGCACGAAUGAUUCCCACACCUGUAACAUAA